This 253-nucleotide ribosomal RNA is filed under the name uncultured bacterium. RNAcentral's name for it is "partial 16S ribosomal RNA". It matches the Rfam family "Bacterial small subunit ribosomal RNA", at positions 524 to 776 of the family's 1533-position model. The record is from RNAcentral.
UACGGAGGGGGCUAGCGUUGUUCGGAAUUACUGGGCGUAAAGCGCACGUAGGCGGCUUUGUAAGUUAGAGGUGAAAGCCCGGAGCUCAACUCCGGAACUGCCUUUAAAACUGCAUCGCUUGAAUCCAGGAGAGGUGAGUGGAAUUCCGAGUGUAGAGGUGAAAUUCGUAGAUAUUCGGAAGAACACCAGUGGCGAAGGCGGCUCACUGGACUGGUAUUGACGCUGAGGUGCGAAAGCGUGGGGAGCAAACAGG